GGUUAAGCGACUAAGCGUACACGGUGGAUGCCUAGGCAAUCAGAGGCGAUGAAGGACGUGCUAAUCUGCGAUAAGCGUCGGUAAGGUGAUAUGAACCGUUACAACCGACGAUUUCCGAAUGGGGAAACCCAGUGCAAUUCGUUGCACUAUCGUUUGAUGAAUACAUAGUCAAACGAAGCGAACCGGGGGAACUGAAACAUCUCAGUACCCCGAGGAAAAGAAAUCAACCGAGAUUCCCCUAGUAGCGGCGAGCGAACGGGGAGCAGCCCAGAGUCUUAAUCAGCAUUAGCAUCAGGAGAACGGUCUGGAAAGUCCGGCAGUAAAGGGUGAUAGCCCCGUAUCCGAAGGUGUUAGUGUUGUGAACUCGACGAGUAGGGCGGGACACGUGUUAUCCUGUCUGAAUAUGGGGGGACCAUCCUCCAAGGCUAAAUACUCCUGAUUGACCGAUAGUGAACCAGUACCGUGAGGGAAAGGCGAAAAGAACCCCGGCGAGGGGAGUGAAAUAGAACCUGAAACCGUGUACGUACAAGCAGUGGGAGC
This 540-nucleotide ribosomal RNA is filed under the name Providencia rettgeri. RNAcentral's name for it is "partial 23S ribosomal RNA". It matches the Rfam family "Bacterial large subunit ribosomal RNA", at positions 1 to 580 of the family's 2925-position model. RNAcentral also lists the same sequence under 1 other name. Lineage: Bacteria; Pseudomonadati; Pseudomonadota; Gammaproteobacteria; Enterobacterales; Morganellaceae. The record is from RNAcentral.